GGUAAUUUAGCUCAGCGGCAUAAGCACCUGCCUUGCAAGCAGGCGGUCGUGAGUUCAAUCCCCACUACCG
This is a transfer RNA of Cavia porcellus (domestic guinea pig), 70 nucleotides long. It matches the Rfam family "tRNA". From Rfam's summary of the family: Transfer RNA (tRNA) molecules are approximately 80 nucleotides in length. NCBI's taxonomy places the organism in Eukaryota, Metazoa, Chordata, Mammalia, Rodentia, Caviidae. The record is from Rfam.